This 432-nucleotide ribosomal RNA is filed under the name uncultured bacterium. Its description in RNAcentral is "partial 16S ribosomal RNA". It matches the Rfam family "Bacterial small subunit ribosomal RNA", at positions 29 to 507 of the family's 1533-position model. The record is from RNAcentral.
ACGAACGCUGGCGGCAUGCCUAACACAUGCCAGUCGAACCAGACCUUCGGGUCUAGUGGCGCACGGGUGCGUCACGCGUGGGAACCUGCCCUUAGGUUCGGAAUAACUCCCCGAAAGGGGUGCUAAUACCGGAUAAUGUCUUCGGACCAAAGAUUUAUCGCCUUUGGAUGGGCCCGCGUUGGAUUAGCUAGUUGGUAGGGUAAAAGCCUACCAAGGCGACGAUCCAUAGCUGGUCUGAGAGGAUGAUCAGCCACACUGGGACUGAGACACGGCCCAGACUCCUACGGGAGGCAGCAGUGGGGAAUAUUGGACAAUGGGCGAAAGCCUGAUCCAGCAAUGCCGCGUGAGUGAUGAAGGCCUUAGGGUUGUAAAGCUCUUUUACCCGGGAUGAUAAUGACAGUACCGGGAGAAUAAGCUCCGGCUAACUCCGUG